GGUCAAGCGAAUAAGCGCACACGGUGGAUGCCUUGGCGGUCAGAGGCGAUGAAGGACGUGGCAGCCUGCGAAAAGUAUCGGGGAGCUGGCAACAAGCUUUGAUCCGGUAAUGUCCGAAUGGGGAAACCCACCCGCUUGCGGGUAUCCUGCAGUGAAUACAUAGCUGCUGGAAGCGAACCUGGUGAACUGAAAUAUCUAAGUAACCAGAGGAAAAGAAAUCAACCGAGAUUCCGUAAGUAGCGACGAGCGAACGCGGACUAGCCCUUAAGCUGAUUUGGUUCUAGGAAAACGCUCUGGAAAGAGCGGCCAUAGAAGGUGAUAGCCCUGUAUCUGAAAGGGCCAUUUCAGUGAAGACGAGUAGGGCGGGGCACGUGAAACCCUGUCUGAACAUGGGGGGACCAUCCUCCAAGGCUAAAUACUACUGACCGACCGAUAGUGAACCAGUACCGUGAGGGAAAGGCGAAAAGAACCCCGGAGAGGGGAGUGAAAUAGAACCUGAAACCGUGUGCGUACAAGCAGUAGGAGCUCCGCAAGGAGUGACUGCGUACCUUUUGUAUAAUGGGUCAGCGACUUACUGUUCGUGGCAAGCUUAACCGUAUAGGGGAGGCGAAGGGAAACCGAGUCUGAUAAGGGCGCAUAGUCGCGGGCAGUAGACCCGAAACCGGGUGAUCUAGUCAUGCCCAGGGUGAAGGUGCGGUAACACGCACUGGAGGCCCGAACCCACUCCCGUUGCAAAGGUAGGGGAUGAGGUGUGAUUAGGAGUGAAAAGCUAAUCGAACCCGGAGAUAGCUGGUUCUCCUCGAAAGCUAUUUAGGUAGCGCCUCAUAUGUAUCCUCUCGGGGGUAGAGCACUGUUAUGGCUAGGGGGUCAUCGCGACUUACCAAACCAUUGCAAACUCCGAAUACCGAGACGGACUGUAUGGGAGACACACGGCGGGUGCUAACGUCCGUCGUGAAAAGGGAAACAACCCAGACCCACAGCUAAGGUCCCAAAUUCACUGCUAAGUGGAAAACCAUGUGGAAAGGCACAGACAGCCAGGAGGUUGGCUUAGAAGCAGCCACCCUUUAAAGAAAGCGUAAUAGCUCACUGGUCGAGUCGGUCUGCGGGGAAGAUUUAACGGGGCUAAGCAGUGAACCGAAGCUUGGGGUGCAUACUNNNNNNNNNNNNNNNNNNNNNNNNNNNNNNNNNNNNNNNNNNNNNNNNNNNNNNNNNNNNNNNNNNNNNNNNNNNNNNNNNNNNNNNNNNNNNNNNGUUAUGCGCGGUAGAGGAGCGUUCCGUAAGCCGUUGAAGGUGGAUUGAGAAGUCUGCUGGAGGUAUCGGAAGUGCGAAUGCUGACAUGAGUAACGAUAAUGCGGGUGAAAAACCCGCACGCCGAAAGCCCAAGGUUUCCUUGCGCAACGUUAAUCGGCGCAGGGUGAGUCGGCCCCUAAGGCGAGGACGAAAGUCGUAGUCGAUGGGAAGCAGGUUAAUAUUCCUGCACCUCGCGUAAGUGCGAUGGAGGGACGGAGAAGGUUAGGUGUACCAGGCGUUGGUUGUCCUGGGGAAAGGCGGUAGGUUUGGAUCUUUGGCAAAUCCGGGAUCCUCUAAGACCGAGCACCGAGACGAGCCUUUAUGGCGAAGUCACUGAUACCACGCUUCCAGGAAAAGCUCCUAAGCUUCAGCUUACGCAGACCGUACCGUAAACCGACACAGGUGGGUAGGAUGAGAAUUCUCAGGCGCUUGAGAGAACUCGGGUGAAGGAACUAGGCAACAUGGCACCGUAACUUCGGGAGAAGGUGCACCCUUUUUGGUGGCUCGUGCGAGCUAUAGCUGAAGAGGGUCGCAGUAACCAGGCCGCUGCGACUGUUUAUCAAAAACACAGCACUCUGCAAACACGAAAGUGGACGUAUAGGGUGUGACGCCUGCCCGGUGCUGGAAGGUUAAUUGAUGGGGUCAGCCGCAAGGCGAAGCUCUUGAUCGAAGCCCCAGUAAACGGCGGCCGUAACUAUAACGGUCCUAAGGUAGCGAAAUUCCUUGUCGGGUAAGUUCCGACCUGCACGAAUGGCGUAACGACAGCGGCGCUGUCUCCACCCGAGACUCAGUGAAAUUGAAAUCGCUGUGAAGAUGCAGCGUUCCCGUGGCAAGACGGAAAGACCCCGUGAACCUUUACUAUAGCUUUACACUGAACGUUGAGUUCGUCUGUGUAGGAUAGGUGGGAGGCUAUGAAACUGUGGCGCUAGCUGCAGUGGAGCCAUCCUUGAAAUACCACCCUGUCGUGCUUGACGUUCUAACCUGGGCCCAUUAUCUGGGUCGGGGACCGUGUAUGGUGGGUAGUUUGACUGGGGCGGUCUCCUCCUAAAGAGUAACGGAGGAGCUCGAAGGUACGCUCAGCGCGGUCGGACAUCGCGCACUGUGUGCAAAGGCAUAAGCGUGCUUGACUGCAAGAUCGACGGAUCAAGCAGGUAGGAAACUAGGACUUAGUGAUCCGGUGGUUCUGUAUGGAAGGGCCAUCGCUCAACGGAUAAAAGGUACUCCGGGGAUAACAGGCUGAUACCGCCCAAGAGUUCAUAUCGACGGCGGUGUUUGGCACCUCGAUGUCGGCUCAUCACAUCCUGGGGCUGUAGUCGGUCCCAAGGGUAUGGCUGUUCGCCAUUUAAAGUGGUACGCGAGCUGGGUUCAGAACGUCGUGAGACAGUUCGGUCCCUAUCUGCCAUGGGCGUUGGAGAUUUGAGAGGGGCUGCUCCUAGUACGAGAGGACCGGAGUGGACGAACCUCUGGUGUUCCGGUUGUCACGCCAGUGGCAUUGCCGGGUAGCUAUGUUCGGAAGCGAUAACCGCUGAAAGCAUCUAAGCGGGAAGCGCGCCUCAAGAUGAGAUCUCCCGGGGCACAAGCCCCCUGAAGGAACCAUGUAGACUACGUGGUUGAUAGGUCAGGUGUGUAAGUACAGCAAUGUAUUGAGCUAACUGAUACUAAUGAUCCG
This 2959-nucleotide ribosomal RNA is filed under the name Stenotrophomonas maltophilia. RNAcentral describes it as "partial 23S ribosomal RNA". It matches the Rfam family "Bacterial large subunit ribosomal RNA". The record is from RNAcentral. Lineage: Bacteria; Pseudomonadati; Pseudomonadota; Gammaproteobacteria; Lysobacterales; Lysobacteraceae.